RNAcentral lists this long non-coding RNA (3524 nucleotides) under Anser cygnoides (Swan goose). RNAcentral's name for it is "lncRNA (ENSACDG00005009298.1)". The record is from RNAcentral. Lineage: Eukaryota; Metazoa; Chordata; Aves; Anseriformes; Anatidae.
AGAAAAAGAAAGAAAGAAAGAAAGAAAGAAAGAAAGAAAGAAAGAAAGAAAGAAAGAAAGAAAGAAAGAAAGAAAGAAAGAAAGAAAGAAAGAAAGAAAGAAAGAAAGAAAGAAAGAAAGAAAGAAAGAAAGAAAGAAAGAAAGAAAGGAGAAGCCUGUUUGGAACCACAAUUUUAGGGUGUACAGAAGUGUACAGCUCCUUUUGGAGUGGGGCUGGAAUGGGGUCUCAUUUAAGCAACAGAGAUGAAAAAAAAUAAGCUUGGAUUUUCCUUUUUUUUUUUUCAUGCAUAAUAAUAAUUCUGGGAUUGAAUAUAGCUGGUUGUAUGUAUUUAAUUUUUCCCCUCUAUUUGUAUAUUAAUAUAAUUCUUGUUUAAUCUCUUGACAUUUUAGAUGUAAGAAAUCUUGUAGAAAAUAUAAUUACUGAAGGAUUGCUGCCUCUGUACUUACAGUUUUGUACUUUGGAGGGUUUUUUUUCAUCACAUCCUGACUGUGUUGUGAUGCAGAGCAUAUGUUACUGACAUGAGUGCACUGAGGUCACCACAGCCAUUGCUGAGCUCCUAUUUAUGUAUUUUUAAAAGGAGAAGAGAGGGGAAGAAGUUGAACUGUUUGCUGCCAUGCUGCUGUUACGACCUGUUUCGAAGAAACUUCCAUAUGGUAUUUCUGGCUCUAGCCCUUCAGGUUGACUCUCUUGUCCCUGCCCUGAGUCACCGGUGGCACACGUGGCAUGGACGGACGGCGUGAGCAAUGUGGGCUUGGGCAGCAUCUGGCACAUUGGACUCUUUUUCGUUUCACUGCAAAUGGACAGCAGGCAGUCCCUGCAUGGAUAGCACUCACUGUCAGGAGACAAUUAUUUUCUCAGAAGACUUUCUACGUGACUUAUAUGCAAACCAUGAGGGUGGCAUCAUCUCCAGAUUACACACAGGAACUGAGACCCGUGUCAGAAGUGUCCAUGUUGUGUGCGUUAACCAUUUUGGAUGGACAGCUUGAGAUGCUGAGGACCCAGCUUUUGGAGCAGCUGACAUUAUUUGGCACUUUCUCUAAUCAAAGCCAGGUAACCCAAGACAUCCACCUCCUUACAGGAAGCCUAAGCAACUGUUUUUGGAUCGGUUCAUUGAGCUCCUAUGAAACUGUGCUUGAGCAAGACGCAUCCAUCCACCCCUCUACAUUCAGAAAUAAAUCUGGAAAGUAUACAGCUUUGCUGCUUCCAAGAGGAAGUUUGUUCAGCAUUGAUUAUGACUGGAGAGGCAUUAUCCUUAUUAUAUCAUCUCCAUUGACAUAAAGAAAUAGAAGGGAGACAGAAGUUAGCUGUAUCUUUUAAAGUGGCUCAGGAAAGCCGGUGUUUCUUGUAUUCCUCUGGUGGCAUAAGAAGAGAUUCAUGUUGUGAACUCUCUCUGCAUUUUUGUUUGAUUUUUUUCCCAGCCCCAGCAUCACUCUCUGUCACCCAUAUGUAACUUGUCCACGCUUAUCACACCAUGAUUGAUGCAAGACUAUGUGUGUAGCUUUAUGGCCUGUCAUCUGCCUGUUAACAAAUGCGAUGGGUACAUGAGUUAUCAGCAGUAGAGCUAGGUGCUUUGAGUUAUUCCAGGGACUCAGAGUUGCUUUUGUAGGAUGCACCAUAUUUUAUAUCACGUCUGCAGCACUGUUCCUUGCCGCUGUAAUACAUCAUCAGCUUUUCCUCCAGAGAGUAACCUCUUCUAUGUGGUUUCACUGAGGUUGUCUUUCUCUGCUAGCACAUUCCCUGACGAGGUGAAGUACUUCUCAAAUGCGCCGCAUAUUUGACAACUACCGUCCCAGGAGUUAGGCAGACCUUAAGGAUUAGACCUGGGAGUUUCCCUCAAGAACCAAAAAGUAUGUUUUUUUUCAGCCAGUGAGGGUUAACAUUCCCUCCAGCAAGAAAUACAGUUUUUAUGGUUUAGCCCUGGUAGCGGCAUGUCAGUUAAAUCCGUAUGAAAACAUGACCCAGCCAUUUGUCAGUAUUUCAGGGCCAGAUGGCAAGGCCUCGUGGCAAGGCCUCGUGGCAAGGCCUCAUGCUGACCUGCAUCGCGGGGAACACUACACUUUGAUCUUCACUUCUGGUUAGCCCAGGCUCCUGCCAAGCUCCUUGCCCCCCCAGCCUCUUUAUGUACCACUGAGCAGGCUGAUUAGCUGUGCGUGUGAAUUUUCAGUCCUCCUUUGUCUUUAUUCAUUUUGUUGAAAGGCUCUCUUUCCCUCCAAAGCCUUUUCUCAUGCAUCGGCGUUGCGGCCCCACCUGCUCCAGAAACAUGCCUGAAGAUGACAUGUUAUACCCAAGCGAACAAAAUGUUUAGUAUGUUAUUCGAAGUCCUUUGAUAUUUACCAUUUAUAUAACGUAGGGUUUGGUUAAAAUUCUCGUCUCACCAAAAAAUUCCCGAGUUCUUCUUCCACCAGUAACGACCAUGCGACAUGUCCUGUUUUCCCACAGCAUUUAUUACAUCCAUUUAGACUCUGCUGGGGACACAGACGAGGAUGAGAAAGAAACUGAGAGGUGCUGAGCUGACAGGAUACAAGCAAGAGGGACUCUAAGGCACCGCAUGGACUGUGCAGGGUGGGACAGGCAGACAAAAGAGGCACUCAGCCUAAUUGCUGUUUGCAGGAUGGUGUCACACUAAAACAAACACAGUUAUUUAAAAGGAAUUAAAAGCCAGAGAUUAAAAUGUCCUUGAUAAUGGCAUCAUAACUGUACAUGCCCUUAGAUAACCGUCACCUGUGCUCUCCAGUAAAGGGGAAGAGACCUCUUACUUCUCUUCAGAAGUCUUCACCUUCACUGAAAAUGGUGGAUUUUGUCUGUGCCGGAAUCUCUAAAAGGUACAAGUCUCUUUAAAAGGGAGAAAUAAUAUUUUCUCAUUGUGUCUGUUUAGUAACACUAAUGAACCAGUGGUAUUUGAUAUGUUGUGGGAGUUCCUGACAAUAGAUCCACUUCACAAGCCUUUGCCUUGUGCCUAAGCAAACCAGUAUGUCAGUCUGACCUUCAAGAAGCUGGAAUCCUUUGUGCUGGUUGCAGCUCUCCUGGAUGUCCUCUUUGUCUUUUCUUAUGAAUAAGCAAAGCCUGUUAAACAAUGUUUGCUCAUUAUCAAGCUUUCCAUUCUUAAGAAAGCAGGGAUAUUCUUUCCCUUUAAGGUUGUUUGUUCUACUUCUCGGUGGUACUAAUUUCCAGUAUACUGGCAGGUUAUAUAGACAACAGGCUUCAGCAACAGAUUUUCUGUGUCUGAGUCACAGGAUGCAUUAUGGAAAGAAUACAAUGUUCUUUAGAAGGAAUUAGUGUGUACAAUUUAGGACAUAUGCAAUGUAAAAAUUCUCAAAAUGAAGAGGUGGCAAUAACUCACCAUAUUUAUCUCACAGAAAAUAUGGCCAAAAAUGCUUCAGUCUUCUAAGAAAACACAUGAAGUCUCUGACAUGUUUCAUUACAUUUCCUUUUGCAUUGGUUGUGACUGAGUUUGAACGUAGUACCUCUCGACUUUUGUAACCUGAAUCCCAUUCUUCCUAAUAAAAAGCAGCAAAUAACCUCA